CUGGGCCAGGUCGGUUUUCAAGUAGGGGGAGGGGACUUGGAGGAGCCCAGCGGCUCCUGGCCGGAGCUGACCCCUGGGCUUCUCCCUGCCUUCCCGGGCGAGGAAGCCUCUCCUGCGCUUCGCUGCCUGCGCGCCAGCUGCCACCCUCCUGGAGAAAGACCGCACCUCUGCUCCGUCGCGCUCCGGAAUAGAGCAUCUUCUAGAAUAACCGAUGCUAGUAAGAGCGAUUCUCGGAAAGCUCCAGAAUGCGUCUGGAACGUUCUUAACCAUCACUGCCCCUCGUCCUGUUAAGAGAGGCGACCGGCUCCUGCGCCAGACGGAGCGAGACGCUGCCACCGCCCGAGAGCGCACAGGGUCGGGGUAGAGGCGUCUACCGCCUGGGGCUGCCGGGCCUGGAGCGCGUCUUUCCCAGUAAGGAGCACUCUGCAUGUUAAAGGGCUCCCCAACCACUCGAAGGGCGCCUGGGGUCAGGGCGGGGCGCCAGCCGCUCUAGUGCAGGCUGGGGAAACCUGGGACGCUUUGCUGGGCUUCCUCCGAGUCACGCGGCCCUUGCACGGUAGAAAUUGUGCAAUGGCUAGGCGGGCGGGAGAAGCGGGGGACGAGGUCACCGUGCCAACUGCUCUAUUUUUAUUUUUUUUUUUUUUUUUUUCCCUUGUAACUUUUUUUCCCCCUAGGUUGCCUUGCGCGGCGCGAGGCGCUACGCCGCGACCGGAACACCGGGUUCCCAGCUGAUGCCCGAAGCCCCGGCCAAAACCCAACGCCUUCCGCAGGGGCGGGUGGGUGCGUCCUCGGGCUGGAGCGGAGCCUCCGGUCCCCGCGGCGCUCCCCGGUACCGACAGCGGGCGAGGAGGAACCUGGGUCCGCCUACGGCAGGAGCCCAGGGACUGCCCACAGCGCUGCAUCGCGGCGGAAGGCCAAGCUGCGAAUGGCGAGCCCGUGCCUCGACACCGGCGUCCACUAGGCUUCGCUGGGAGCAGCCGCUUCUUGGCUUCCCCACCGCAGUGAGCGGCGACCGGGUAGCCGAUGGGACAGGUGCGCUGUGA
This 1043-nucleotide long non-coding RNA is filed under the name Oryctolagus cuniculus (rabbit). Its description in RNAcentral is "lncRNA (ENSOCUG00000039479.1)". Lineage: Eukaryota; Metazoa; Chordata; Mammalia; Lagomorpha; Leporidae. The record is from RNAcentral.